ACGGGGUAGUAAUGUGUCGGAACGUGCCCUCUGGACGGGGAUAGCGGCGGGAAACUGCCGGUAAUACCCGAUGAACUCGAGAGAGCAAAGGUGUGAUUCCGCCGGAGGAGCGGCCGACAUGGUAUUAGCUAGUUGGCGGGGUAACGGCCCACCAAGGCUGUGAUGCCUAGGGGAUGUGAGAGCAUGAUCCCCACCAUUGGGACUGAGACACUGCCCAGACACCUACGGGUGGCUGCAGUCGAGAAUCUUCGUCAAUGGGCGAAAGCCUGAACGAGCGACGCCGCGUGUGGGAUGAAGGCCUUUGGGUUGUAAACCUCUGUCGAGGGGGAUGAAGGCAUUCAGGUCCUCCUGAGUGUUUGACAGAGCCCUGGAGGAAGCACGGGCUAAGUUCGUGCCAGCAGCCGCGGUAAUACGAACUGUGCGAACGUUAUUCGGAAUCACUGGGCUUACAGGGUGCGUAGGCGGCUUAGCAAGUCAGGUGUGAAAGCCCCCGGCUCAACCGGGGAACUGCGCUUGAAACUGCUGAGCUCGAGUCAGCUAGAGGUACACGGAACUUCCAGUGGAGCGGUGAAAUGUGUUGA
This 581-nucleotide ribosomal RNA is filed under the name uncultured bacterium. RNAcentral describes it as "bacterial SSU rRNA". It matches the Rfam family "Bacterial small subunit ribosomal RNA", at positions 102 to 694 of the family's 1533-position model. The record is from RNAcentral.